RNAcentral lists this ribosomal RNA (443 nucleotides) under Enterobacter sp. RNAcentral describes it as "bacterial SSU rRNA". It matches the Rfam family "Bacterial small subunit ribosomal RNA", at positions 30 to 469 of the family's 1533-position model. The record is from RNAcentral. Lineage: Bacteria; Pseudomonadati; Pseudomonadota; Gammaproteobacteria; Enterobacterales; Enterobacteriaceae. RNAcentral also lists the same sequence under 1 other name.
UGAACGCUGGCGGCAGGCCUAACACAUGCAAGUCGAACGGUAACAGGAAGCAGCUUGCUGCUUCGCUGACGAGUGGCGGACGGGUGAGUAAUGUCUGGGAAACUGCCUGAUGGAGGGGGAUAACUACUGGAAACGGUAGCUAAUACCGCAUAACGUCGCAAGACCAAAGAGGGGGACCUUCGGGCCUCUUGCCAUCGGAUGUGCCCAGAUGGGAUUAGCUAGUAGGUGGGGUAACGGCUCACCUAGGCGACGAUCCCUAGCUGGUCUGAGAGGAUGACCAGCCACACUGGAACUGAGACACGGUCCAGACUCCUACGGGAGGCAGCAGUGGGGAAUAUUGCACAAUGGGCGCAAGCCUGAUGCAGCCAUGCCGCGUGUAUGAAGAAGGCCUUCGGGUUGUAAAGUACUUUCAGCGGGGAGGAAGGCGAUAAGGUUAAUAACCU